Non-coding RNA from Ictidomys tridecemlineatus (thirteen-lined ground squirrel), 354 nucleotides. The record is from the annotation of a RefSeq genome assembly. Lineage: Eukaryota; Metazoa; Chordata; Mammalia; Rodentia; Sciuridae.
AUGGUGCUGCCCAGACUGCUGAAACUGGUCAUGUUGUCCAUGUGGCUGGGAUCCAGUUUUGCCCAGAAGGUGACUCAGGCCCAGCCAGCCAUGUGGGUGCAGGAGAAGGAAGCUGUGAGCCUGCACUGCUCCUAUGACACCAGUGCUGGAAGUUAUGGUCUCCUCUGGUACAAGCAGCCCAGCAGUGGGGAGAUGGUCUUCCUCAUCCUUCAGAACUCUUACAGCCAGCAAAAUGCCACAGAAGGUCGCUACUCAGUGAAUUUGCAGAAGGCAAGCAAAUCCAUCCAACUUGCCAUCUCAACCUCACAGCUAGGGGACUCAGCGGUGUAUUUCUGUGCACUGAGAGAUAGAUAG